Molecule: non-coding RNA, 1412 nt
Organism: Heterocephalus glaber (naked mole-rat)
Lineage: Eukaryota; Metazoa; Chordata; Mammalia; Rodentia; Bathyergidae
Source: RefSeq, a predicted model, not a curated record
CGUUCCACAGGGCUCGGAGGGAAGCAGCCAGGGAGAAGUAAGGCAGGCUGGGUACCAUGGCUAUGGCAGCAGGAAGCAUUUUAUAACGGGCCAGGAAGGGCCUCUACAAUGGACCGGGAAAAUCCUUCAAACUCUUCUCAGAGCUGGGCUAGGAUUUUCCUUCUCAGCAGAGGGAUCACGAAUGCCCGCCCUCCUCGGCAGCAGCGAGCAGGUCAGAAACUGGCAGGCUUCCAGACCGUGAGCUCAGCUCCAGUUCCAUUUCCCACCAACAGGAAUGAUGCCUGCAAGUGACUCCCAGUGGGGACCACACCUCAUCCCGAGCCCCGAGUAUGGCCUGGGCUACAGAAAACUAAACGAAGCUGCAAAAGGACAGGCUCAGAACAGGUGGCUUUCUCCUUUACACAGAGCAAGGGCUCCCUCUCACCCACAACAUGGCCCGAUGUCCAGCUGUUUGUGGGAAAAAUUAAGAUCAGUUGAAAUCAACAACUGUGCAGCAGGGAGGUGGUGAAUGGAGCCAGGAAAAUUCCUUGGGCCCAGUCAGAAGGCACGCUCAACCACGCUGCUGCCCUGGGGUUUAUUGGUUACCGAUUAAUGUGAUAAACUACAAGCCAGUACUUCGUCUUGUUCCAAACUCUCGGACAUUUGUUCUGGAGUUAUUUAUUUUGGAAUUUUCUCCCAUGCCAUUCCACAAGGCUGUGAGGUAGCAAUUCCAUGCAUCCGAUCCUGGGCUACUUUAUCCUUCGAAUGCAGCCGUACCCUGACUUUGCUGAUGGGAUGUCGGAAGCACUUAUUGUCCCCGGUCUCGCUGAGUGUGAUGGCAUAGAACUGUCCUUUGUUGAGAGACACAACACAGCAUAUGGCAAAAGAGAUGAGGCCAGACCAAAGGUCAUCGCUACUACAAUGCAUACAACAUUUCUAAUAGUGGCCCAUAAACCAGAUGGUUCAGAAGGGGAGAAAGUCCACGAUGCGUGUGGCCGUGUGUGGUUUGAGCAGAGCACACUGGCAGGUCUCAGCGGUACUCGAGUGCAGCCUGAAGCUUACAAACUGAUAACCUCUGCCAGAUGUGAGUGCUUCUGUCCAGCCUGGGACACCUAACUUUCUUUUCUUCUUCUUCAAUUUUUAUUCAUGAUAGCUAACUACCUUUUUAUCAAGAUGUUGCAGAUACCCAUAUCUCAAUUAAAAAUAUUUCAGAAUGUGAAAAACCAAAACUACAUUCACUACCGAGAAUCUAGUUCCCUAACGGGAGAGCUGUUUUUGUUUGUCCACUUGGUUUUGUCUUUUGUGUCUGGUUUUUAUGCCUGCAGAAGAACUCAAGACACAUCUGCUGUAAAUCAAGGGGGUUGCAAAUGAUGGUUAGGGAUUCAAAGCCAGCUCACUGGCUGUUUUUGUAAAUAAAGUUUUAUUGGCACAAA